GGGGGCGCAUUUGGUUUCGACGGGAAUGAUUUUUUAGGGUGCAAAGCGUGCAGUAGGCUGCUACUUUAAAGGGCAAAAAAAAUAAACGCAAAUACAAAUAAUUACGCUAUUGCUGCUUAACGCACUUAGCUGCUGAAGUUGAAAUUCUCGCGAUUCAACAUUCGGCAUCAAAAAAGCGAGGAACGUUUGGUUAUAUUUUCGCAGUAUAAUUAAAUGAACAAAUGCGAAUAGCAAUUUAAAAAUUUGAACGUUAUUUUUAAAAUGUGAACUUAAAAAUGUUCUAAGCACGUAGAAAAGCUCUAUAAAACUUUUUCGGACGAGGGUUCAACUCCCUCCGUCUCCACCA
Molecule: transfer-messenger RNA, 346 nt
Filed under: Clostridia bacterium
Lineage: Bacteria; Bacillati; Bacillota; Clostridia
Rfam family: transfer-messenger RNA
About the family: Bacterial tmRNA, also known as 10Sa RNA or SsrA, is named for its dual tRNA and mRNA-like properties.
Source: RNAcentral